This 1453-nucleotide long non-coding RNA is filed under the name Populus tremula. RNAcentral describes it as "long non-coding RNA (PTRE_LNC001764)". Lineage: Eukaryota; Viridiplantae; Streptophyta; Magnoliopsida; Malpighiales; Salicaceae. The record is from RNAcentral.
ACACAUACACUUUCACUAUUUUAUUUUUGUUUCUUUUCUUUUUCUUUUCUUUUCUUUUACAUCCAUAUUUACAAAAUACAAAUUACAAAAAACUGAAAAAACUAAACAAAUAUUACAUUAAACCAUUUGGAAAUUACAAAAAUGACCCAAAACAAAUUCAGGAACAAUUCCGGGCUGCCCGAACAGUAGCGGCGCGUGGGCUCACGCGCCGCCCCGAAAAUCCAGCAGCGUGAGGGGGCUGUAAUGCUUCCUCCUCUCUUCAAUCUCUUGUUGUCCGUCACCUGCAAAUCCAAAAACACACAGCAAGGGCAGUCGAUUUUAAUUUUUUUUGUCUUUGUUCUAAAAUUUGCUUCGGUUCCUCUUUUUUUCUUGGUAGAUCGGCUUCUGUUUUUUUCUUCUUGGCAGAUCGGCUUCGAUUUUCUUCCCUUCUCUUUUGGUGGCCGCCGAUGAUUGGGAAGCUGGUGGUGGUUGAUCGGGCGGCGCUGCUGCUGCCACUGCUGGGAAACGGCUGGAGGAGGGGAGCUUGUCUCGCGGUGUGGCUGAGCUGGCGACGAGGAGGAGUGCUGGAGGCGACCGGGGCUACUGAUGACUAGUCUGUGGGUGGCGGUGUUGAGGGGCGCGACCGGCUGGCUUUUGGAGCAAAAAUCACAAAGCAGGGGAACGGUUUUUGGGGAAUAAAAAACAGAGGAAGAUGAGGCUGCAGGAGAUGGGUUGUGUUGGGGAGAAAGUGGAAUCGAGAGAGGAGCUGUGAUAGGGAGAAGUGAGGCUUGUGUUUCGUUUCGGUUGUGACCGGGGAAGGGAAAAAUCAAGGGGGAACUGCAGGGAGAAAGGGGCUGGAGCAGGAGAGGAAAACAGGGGAACGGUGAAUCUGUUUUGUGCUCUCUGGUGCUCUAUUGGCCAGGAGAGGGAGAGUGUUUUGUGGGGUUUCGGGAGAAAUGUUGGAGGUGAAGGGGAGGCCGUGAGGUUGAUUUGUAAGGGAAAAUGAGAUUGAUUGGGGGGCUGAGAGAGCAAAUCAAAAACCAGGGGAGAGGAGUUUGGUGGCUUCGGCGGAGAAAGAAAAAAUCUGGCCGGGAGGGAGAAGAGAAAAAAAAAAAUGAGCGUCAAGGGAGUCCCAUCUCUGUUGGCAAAGGCUGAGGAAGAAGAUCAAGAUAUGAAAUCAGUGGGGGCUGUUUUUGUUUGCUUUUUGCCGAGAGGCUGGACCCAUGAACCCAGGGAAGGGGUUUUGUUUUUUUGGGUUUGAGGGGAGACGGGUGGCUCAAGGUUGAAGAUGGGGAUGGUCUGGAAAAUGGGGGACAAAAAUUAAAUUGGGGCUGUUUUUUGGGGGGCUGUUUGGUCGGGGUGAAAAAAAAACAAAGGGUGGGGUUUUUAUGUGAUGUUUCAAAAUUGCCCCCAUGACUCAAAAUUGCCCCCUUUUGGCAAGUGUUGGACACCAGUAUUUAUAGGCAAAAAAUAU